RNAcentral lists this ribosomal RNA (253 nucleotides) under uncultured bacterium. RNAcentral describes it as "partial 16S ribosomal RNA". It matches the Rfam family "Bacterial small subunit ribosomal RNA", at positions 524 to 776 of the family's 1533-position model. The record is from RNAcentral.
UACGUAGGCAGCAAGCGUUGUUCGGAGUUACUGGGCGUAAAGAGUGCGUAGGCGGUCCUGUAAGUUUGGUGUGAAAUCUCCCGGCUCAACUGGGAGGGUGCGCCGAAGACUGCAGGGCUUGAGUAUGGGAGAGGUAAGCGGAAUUCCUGGUGUAGCGGUGAAAUGCGUAGAUAUCAGGAGGAACACCUGUGGUGUAGACAGCUUACUGGACCAUCACUGACGCUGAGGCCCGAAAGCCAGGGGAGCGAACGGG